GWCGAACGAACUCUGGUAUUGAUUGGUGCUUGCAUCAUGAUUUACAUUUGAGUGAGUGGCGAACUGGUGAGUAACACGUGGGAAACCUGCCCRGAAGCGGGGGAUAACACCUGGAAACAGAUGCUAAUACCGCAUAACAACUUGGACCGCAUGGUCCGAGYUUGAAAGAUGGCUUCGGCUAUCACUUYUGGAUGGUCCCGCGGCGUAUUAGCUAGAUGGUGAGGUAACGGCUCACCAUGGCAAUGAUACGUAGCCGACCUGAGAGGGUAAUCGGCCACAUUGGGACUGAGACACGGCCCAAACUCCUACGGGAGGCAGCAGUAGGGAAUCUUCCACAAUGGACGAAAGUCUGAUGGAGCAACSCCGCGUGAGUGAAGAAGGGUUUCGGCUCGUAAAACUCUGUUGUUAAAGAAGAACAUAUCUGAGAGUAACUGUUCAGGUAUUGACGGUAUUUAACCAGAAAGCCACGGCUAACUACGUGCCAGCMGCCGCGGUAAUWCGGUCAUAG
This 508-nucleotide ribosomal RNA is filed under the name Lactiplantibacillus plantarum. Its description in RNAcentral is "bacterial SSU rRNA". It matches the Rfam family "Bacterial small subunit ribosomal RNA", at positions 61 to 534 of the family's 1533-position model. The record is from RNAcentral. Lineage: Bacteria; Bacillati; Bacillota; Bacilli; Lactobacillales; Lactobacillaceae.